This 440-nucleotide ribosomal RNA is filed under the name uncultured bacterium. RNAcentral's name for it is "partial 16S ribosomal RNA". It matches the Rfam family "Bacterial small subunit ribosomal RNA", at positions 338 to 795 of the family's 1533-position model. The record is from RNAcentral.
CCUACGGGUGGCAGCAGUAGGCAAUUUUGCGCAAUGGGCGCAAGCCUGACGCAGCAACGCCGCGUGAACGAGACGCCCUUCGGGGUGUAAAGUUCUGUCAGUGGGGACGAAAAAUGGCGGUACCCACAGAGGAAGCACCGGCUAACUCCGUGCCAGCAGCCGCGAUAAUACGGAGGGUGCAAGCGUUGUCCGGAAUCAUUGGGCGUAAAGAGGUCGUAGGCGGCAUGUAAAGUCAGGUGGUAAAGGCGCAGGCUCAACCUGUGUAUGGCAGUUGAUACUUGCAAGCUGGAGUGCGGUAGAGGUAAAGGGAAUUCCUGGUGUAGCGGUGAAAUGCUUAGAUAUCAGGAGGAACAUCGGUGGCGUAAGCGCUUUACUGGGCCGUAACUGACGCUGAGGAACGAAAGCCAGGGUAGCAAAUGGGAUUAGAUACCCGGGUAGUC